This 440-nucleotide ribosomal RNA is filed under the name uncultured bacterium. Its description in RNAcentral is "partial 16S ribosomal RNA". It matches the Rfam family "Bacterial small subunit ribosomal RNA", at positions 338 to 795 of the family's 1533-position model. The record is from RNAcentral.
CCUACGGGUGGCAGCAGUGGGGGAUAUUGCACAAUGGGGGGAACCCUGAUGCAGCGACGCCGCGUGGGUGAAGAAGCGCCUCGGCGCGUAAAGCCCUGUCAGCAGGGAAGAAAAUGACGGUACCUGAAGAAGAAGCCCCGGCUAACUACGUGCCAGCAGCCGCGGUAAUACGUAGGGGGCAAGCGUUAUACGGAUUUACUGGGUGUAAAGGGGGCGCAGACGGCGAUGCACGCCAGGAGUGAAAGCCCGGGGCCCAACCCCGGGACUGCUCUUGGAACUGCGUGGCUAGAGUGCAGGAGGGGCAGGCGGAAUUCAUGGUGUAGCGGUGAAAUGCGUAGAUAUCAGGAGGAACACCGGUGGCGAAGGCGGCCUGCUGGACUGCAACUGACGUUGAGGCCCGAAAGCGUGGGGAGCAAACAGGAUUAGAUACCCGAGUAGUC